ACGGAGGAUCCAAGCGUUAUCCGGAAUUACUGGGCGUAAAGAGUUGCGUAGGUGGCAGAGUAAGCGAGGUGUGAAAGCGUACGGCUCAACCGUAUAUACAUGCUUUGAACUGCUCAGCUAGAGGACAAGAUAGGUCACUGGAAUUCCUAGUGUAGGAGUGAAAUCCGUAGAUAUUAGGAGGAACACCAAUGGCGUAGGCAGGUGACUGGCUUGUUCCUGACACUAAGGCACGAAAGCGUGGGGAGCGAACGGGA
RNAcentral lists this ribosomal RNA (254 nucleotides) under uncultured prokaryote. RNAcentral's name for it is "partial 16S ribosomal RNA". It matches the Rfam family "Bacterial small subunit ribosomal RNA", at positions 525 to 777 of the family's 1533-position model. The record is from RNAcentral.